Columba livia (rock pigeon) is the source of this 462-nucleotide long non-coding RNA. RefSeq lists it as uncharacterized. The record is from RefSeq and is a predicted model, not a curated record. Lineage: Eukaryota; Metazoa; Chordata; Aves; Columbiformes; Columbidae. The transcript is spliced from 3 exons.
UAAGCCUGGAUUGCAAAACAAAGGCGGAGACUGGCCUCAAACAAUGGAAGUGAGGGGGGGUGAAGAAGCAUAGAAGAUGACUCCUGAAUGGACAUCGUUAAGAUCUUCCCACCAGAGGAUCCCGGAUCACGACACAAGACCAACAGGACUCUACGGGAUCAGAGGGAUGCCUUUGGAACUCGUCUGGUGAAACACCACUCUAGAAGAUGACCUCCAAGAAGCACCCGGGAUGUCUGUUUGAGCCACAGGGUGGUAAAAAUGGUUUGGAUGCAAGGACCACUACCAUCAAUGAGGCAAAACAGGAUGCUGUACUCAGUGCUGAUAAGAAGACCAACAGAAUGCUGAAGAAGCUCAUGUUUAGAUUUAUUACUAUGGUAGCCAAGAAAGACUGAUAAGUUUUCCCACGUUCCGUCGUGAGAGGGGUGUGUUUGAGGAGGGGUAGAUGGAAUAGGUGACUUAAAC